Aricia agestis (brown argus) is the source of this 536-nucleotide long non-coding RNA. RefSeq lists it as uncharacterized. The record is from RefSeq and is a predicted model, not a curated record. NCBI's taxonomy places the organism in Eukaryota, Metazoa, Arthropoda, Insecta, Lepidoptera, Lycaenidae. The transcript has 3 exons.
UGUGAUGUUUUCAAUAUUUAUUUUUGUAUUUUUAUUUAGAAAUGCAAUCAAAAUUUCUUUCAGAAAUUGUGUGAUAUGAAAACAUUCAUUGAGAAAUAUAAUACACGGGGCAUCUUUUUGUCGUGUCGAGAUAUUUUCAUGGAAUUAACCACCAAUGUUUUUGCUUUAAUAACCUCUAGCUUACCUAUACAGCGUGUUACAAAAAAUCUGUAAAAUUAAAAUAUUUGUUUUAAUUAUAUUUUACAAACAAAUUUAAGACCUAAAUUUUAAAUUUUUUCCUAACAAAAUAAUGAGUAAAAAGAAAACUCAACAAAAGGCACCCGUAUCGAAGCAAGAUCAACAAAUUAAUGAACCACGAUGUUGCUGUUCAAGGCAGAAAAGUUCUACGCGUAUAAGAUGCGAUAAAAAUCGCGUCACAAUAUUCGGUCAAGUGGAGCAAAAUGAAAAUGAUAAAUACACACUUGAAUAUGCUGCUAAAAUAAAUGAUAUGCCUAUGUCACCGGAGUUUUUUUCGCAAUACUAUAAUAAACUAGAUG